This 645-nucleotide ribosomal RNA is filed under the name Triticum aestivum (bread wheat). RNAcentral describes it as "partial small subunit ribosomal RNA". The record is from RNAcentral. Lineage: Eukaryota; Viridiplantae; Streptophyta; Magnoliopsida; Poales; Poaceae.
AUGUCAGAUUCAGAACCUAAAGACCUGGACAAAGGAAGGAACUACUUCGUGAAAGACUCAAUAGGCCAAGGCGAAUACUGCUGCCAAUGCUGCAAGUUUGAAUGGGACGGCAUUGUGUGCUGUCACAUACUAAAAGUAAUGGACAUGAACGCUGUGACAUGGAUGCCCCGCCAUUUCAUAAGGCGGCGAUGGACUUGGAACGCUGACAACGCGUUGGCGCCGCAGACAACAAAUGCAGUUCUGGCUGUGCAUGACGAGAGACCAGAGUCAACCAUGGAAGCCGUGAGGCACAUUGUGUUGACAAAGAAUUAUGCUGAGCUAAUUGAUGAAGCAUGCAAGAGUGAUGAGACAGCGAGAGUCACAGAAAAACACAGGAAGGCCCUGAAAAGAGAGCUUGAUGAGAUCAAGAAGAGGAAAGCUGAGGAAGCCUUACACAGGUUUCCCCGCACAUCAAGUGUGCCUUCGUCCCUGGGGCCAUCAUCUAAAAACUCGGAGAUAGGAUCUGGAAUAGCAAGCACACAAACCCAGGUCAGGAACCCACCCCGUUCCAUCACAAAGGGUCGUCCAAGAGAGGUAAGGUACAAAUCGGAAUUGAAGAUUCAAGCAAAACACAAGAAAACGAAGAAAGGGACGGGCAAUCCAUAA